Molecule: ribosomal RNA, 504 nt
Filed under: uncultured bacterium
Lineage: Bacteria
Description: partial 16S ribosomal RNA
Rfam family: Bacterial small subunit ribosomal RNA
Source: RNAcentral
GAUAAACGCUAGCGGCAGGCUUAACACAUGCAAGUCGAGGGGCAGCAUAGAUUGUAGCAAUACAAUUGGUGGCGACCGGCGCACGGGUGCGUAGCGCGUAUGCAACCUACCCGUCACAGGGGGAUAAUCCGGAGAAAUCUGGUCUAAUACCCCAUAACAUAUGGAUCGGCAUCGGUUCAUGUUGAAAUUUUCGGAGGUGACGGAUGGGCAUGCGUAGCAUUAGCUUGUUGGUGAGGUAACGGCUCACCAAGGCGACGAUGCUUAGGGGGACUGAGAGGUUUUCCCCCCUCACUGGUACUGAGACACGGACCAGACUCCUACGGGAGGCAGCAGUGAGGAGUAUUGGUCAAUGGGCGCAAGCCUGAACCAGCCAUGCCGCGUGCAGGAUGACGGCUCUGUGAGUUGUAAACUGCUUUUGUACGAGGGUAAAGUGGGUUACGUGUAACCUUUUGAAAGUAUCGUACGAAUAAGGAUCGGCUAACUCCGUGCCAGCCGCCGCAGUAA